RNAcentral lists this ribosomal RNA (457 nucleotides) under uncultured organism. RNAcentral's name for it is "partial 16S ribosomal RNA". It matches the Rfam family "Bacterial small subunit ribosomal RNA", at positions 330 to 804 of the family's 1533-position model. The record is from RNAcentral.
CGUACACUCCUACGGGAGGCAGCAGUGGGGAAUUUUACGCAAUGGGGGAAACCCUGACGUAGCGACACCGCGUGAGCGAAGAAGCCCUUUGGGGUGUAAAGCUUUGUCAGCUGGAACGAAAACAAUGACGGUACCAGCAGAGGAAGCAUCGGCUAACUACGUGCCAGCAGCCGCGGUAAGACGUAGGAUGCGAGCGUUGUCCGGAUUUAUUGGGCGUAAAGAGUUCGUAGGUGGUUUGUUAAGUUUGGUGUUAAAGAUCGGGGCUCAACCCUGGGACUGCACUGAAUACUGGCAGACUCGAGUGUGGUAGAGGCUAGUGGAAUUCCCAGUGUAGCGGUGAAAUGCGUAGAUAUUGGGAAGAACACCGGUGGCGUAGGCGACUAGCUGGGCCAUAACUGACGCUGAGGAACGAAAGCCAGGGGAGCGAAUGGGAUUAGAAACCCCGGUAGUCCCAUGA